Stegastes partitus (bicolor damselfish) is the source of this 871-nucleotide long non-coding RNA. RefSeq lists it as uncharacterized. The transcript is spliced from 3 exons. NCBI's taxonomy places the organism in Eukaryota, Metazoa, Chordata, Actinopteri, Pomacentridae. The record is from RefSeq and is a predicted model, not a curated record.
UUUCCUGUGAACAGCUUCUGCAGAACGACUUUCACAUCAGCGUCUGUGCCGUCGCACAUUCAAGUUUCUUCUUCAGAGAGUUGUGGACAGUGUCAGAGUUGAGCUUCAUCAUGGCUGGACUCCUGCUGUUUGUCGUCCUCAUGAGUUUCUUUUAUGAGAUUCAAGGACAAGCUCCUCCACCUACACUGAUAAUACAUCCACCAGUGAUCACUGAGACAGACUCGGUCACAUUGAACUGUGAGGCUCCAUCGUCUGUUUCUGUGUCUCGGUGUCAUUUCUACACUCUGACCAGAAAAGCUUUUGAAACAAAGUCAUGUAAACAGACGCUGACAGGAACUGAGCUGCUGAAGAUUUCACAUCAGAAUUCACCUGCUGCGGUUCAAGUGAUUUGUUAUUACACUGUACAGCUUCAAAAUGUGAAUUCUCCAUUCAGUUACCCAUCAACCAUCACCAUACAGAGUGAGUGAUACUUUUCUCAUACCUUGAUAUGUUAUCUAGUUUUCUGACUGUCUUGCAUCAACCUGCUAUGUUUCCCAUUCUUGUUGCUAUUGUGACUCUGUGACCAGCGCUGAUCCUCCACUCUCCACCUCUGCAGCCACUUAGUCAGAACAGUUCACUGUAAUGGCAGUUUCAGUUUGUUUCAUUUAGCGUAUUCUUGGUCAGACUCAGAGACAAGAAGUUGAGUGCAGAGAGUGAAAAUGUAGUUUGACCCAUAGAGCCACAAUGACUGCAUUUAUUGAGAAUAACUGAAAUAUACAUAAUUAUUAUCAUUAUUACAAACUGUAGAUUUUAUGUAGAUGUUUUCAUUUUUAUCGUGCAUUUUUACAAAUACAUCAGUCUAUGAUUUAUUAUCUUUGCUUAACAUAGUUAA